AUUGAACGCUGGCGGCAGGCCUAACACAUGCAAGUCGAGCGGAUGAAGGGAGCUUGCUCCUGGAUUCAGCGGCGGACGGGUGAGUAAUGCCUAGGAAUCUGCCUGGUAGUGGGGGAUAACGUCCGGAAACGGGCGCUAAUACCGCAUACGUCCUGAGGGAGAAAGUGGGGGAUCUUCGGACCUCACGCGAUCAGAUGAGCCUAGGCCGUAUUAGCUAGUUGGUGGGGUAAAGGCCUACCAAGGCGACGAUCCGUAACUGGUCUGAGAGGAUGAUCAGUCACACUGGAACUGAGACACGGUCCAGACUCCUACGGGAGGCAGCAGUGGGGAAUAUUCCACAAUGGGCGAAAGCCUGAUCCAGCAAUGCCGCGUGUGUGAAGAAGGUCUUCGGAUCGUAAAGCACUUUAAGUUGGGAAGAAGGGAAGUAAGUUAAUAUCUUGCCGUCUUGACGUUACCAACAGAAUAAGCACCGGCUAACUUCGUG
Molecule: ribosomal RNA, 484 nt
Filed under: uncultured bacterium
Lineage: Bacteria
Description: partial 16S ribosomal RNA
Rfam family: Bacterial small subunit ribosomal RNA
Source: RNAcentral